GCGCGUGUAGAUCAGUGGUAGAUCACAGGCCUCCUAUGUUUUGAUAGCCUGGGGUCCGGAGUUCAAACCUCCGUUCGCGUC
This 81-nucleotide transfer RNA is filed under the name Mixia osmundae IAM 14324. It matches the Rfam family "tRNA". Rfam says of the family: Transfer RNA (tRNA) molecules are approximately 80 nucleotides in length. Their secondary structure includes four short double-helical elements and three loops (D, anti-codon, and T loops). Lineage: Eukaryota; Fungi; Basidiomycota; Mixiomycetes; Mixiales; Mixiaceae. The record is from Rfam by way of RNAcentral.